GGAACAUAGCUCAGCUGGUGGCAGCGUCUGACUGUUAAUCAGAAGGUCGGCGGUUCGAAUCCGGCCC
Molecule: transfer RNA, 67 nt
Filed under: bovine gut metagenome
Rfam family: tRNA (bases 7-65)
About the family: Transfer RNA (tRNA) molecules are approximately 80 nucleotides in length. Their secondary structure includes four short double-helical elements and three loops (D, anti-codon, and T loops).
Source: RNAcentral